Macaca fascicularis (crab-eating macaque) is the source of this 2696-nucleotide long non-coding RNA. The record is from Ensembl. Lineage: Eukaryota; Metazoa; Chordata; Mammalia; Primates; Cercopithecidae.
GGCUGAGGCAGGACAAUUGCUUGAACCAGAUGCAGGGGGUGGGUGAGGUGGGGGAUGCAGUGAGCCAAGAUCAUGCCACUUCACUCCAGCCUGGGCAAAAGAGUGAAACUCCGUCUCAAAACCCAAAAAAACCCAAGCAGUCUGACUCAAAAGUCCGUUUUCAAUUACUCUGUUCUGCUGAAGAAAAAAAAAGAUACAUUAAGUUACUUUUUUUCUUCUAUGCAUGGAUCUAUAAUGUACCUUUUACUUCCAGAAAGGUCUCUAUUGUCUUAGUUUUGAAAAUGCACAGUGAGAAAGUCAUUAUUCUAUUGACCUUUGCUAAGAUCUGUUGUGUGCUGGGCCAGGGACAGAGAAGACUCAUAUGAGGGCCUUGCCAUUAGUGGUAUAGUAGGAAAGAUAGGCAUCUACUCACAUAAUUUCACAGCAUUGGGUACUGAGGAUACCGUAGGAGUGCUGAGAUCCCCAGAGAAGGGAGAUAAUAGUUCUAGCUGAGAGGAUUGGGGAAGGUGUCCCCAGAACAUAGUAUUCUGUUCUUUACUAGCAUUACUAAAAACAUACAUGGUGACUGUUGGGAUUUUUUGUUAGAAGCAGAGCUCCCACAAGGCCGCAUCAUUUGAUGUUACGGCUGUGUUCACUGGAAAAGGCCAGCAGUCUCCUAGGAGGCCUCAUUUAAGUAGCAUUCAUUACUUGAGUGAAUUAAGCCUGGUCCAAGGUCUGACCUUCAAGUUUAGAAACCUGAUUUUCAUCAAUAAAAUGGAGACAGAUCUCUAUUAAGAAAUUUCACAGGGACUGAUAUAAAGACCCGAAUGUCACUUUCCAGUAAAAAUAAAGUUGCCACAGGACUUGGAGUGCCCACAAUUGGUUGAACAUGACUCCUCCCUUGCUGGUGGUUGGAUACCUCCUGCCUCUGAGGCACCGCUUGAUCUCUGCAGCCAGGGGUGCCUGGGCCCCUCUCAUGGACGCAUUUUUCAGAUUAAUAUCUUUAAUCAGGUUACAGUCUGGUUUGACUAGUUGGGUAACUAUAAUGCCUCUUUAGGGUGACUUUGCAUAUCUUUGCUUUGAUCCAUUAUAUGUAAAAUUUUCAGUAUGUUAAUGAGCAUCAUUUUUAAAAUCAUGAAAUAGAAUUCAUUAUUGAAUAUGUACUGGGUCACAAGAUAAAAUGUUUGAAAGCCAUUUAUUUUUUACAAUCUCUCCAAAGGAGUGUAAGUCCUAAAGUUAUGUAUCCAGGUGAAUGACAUAAAAGAUUUAUCUCAUGGGAGUGGGGAAAACUACAGAAAGACCUCACCCAUUUUUCUCUCCUCACUGCACUAAGUGUAUGGAAUGUGUGCAGCUGCCCAAGACCUAAGGGCUUAGUUACAGCCUCUCCAUCCUGUUUCCUCUGGAGUCAGAACUUGAUUGAGUUAGUUUGUGGGAAGGGAAAGAAAUGGGAAAAAGCUGACACUUACUGGGGACCUUCUCUGAGCCUGGCACUAAGGUUCUUAAUAAAUGUAUACUUUAUUCCUUAUGACACUUAAAUAGAAAAUAUAAGGUAUAGAGAGAUGGAAGCAAUUUGGCCAAGAAACCCCAACCUAGGAAAGGUUCACAGCUGGACAAGCCAGGUUCCAACCCAGAUGACUCAGCUGUGAGACUUACUCUUCUACCACACUGGACUGCCUUUUGCUCUCUGCGGCUAUGUAUGCUCAAAGGACUGCUCUUAAGAGCAGGUGUGCAAGACUCAGCAACCCAGGCCCUCAUUGAGCACAGAGGAGACCCCACACCCCUCCGAGGCUCUGUAAGACACACAGGAGAGACUGAACUGAAUUGCUUGCUCAGCCUGUGGGCCUUUUAAUGAUGAUUGGACUUGUCAGGACUGAGACAACCCUGAUUUGUUCUCCAAAUUGUGGGCCUCUACAUGAGUUAAAGAUCCUUCUAGGCACUGUGACAUACAGAGACCUGGAUGGGGUAGAGGCUGUACUUAAUUGAAUCAAAACUCUGGACCUAGAAUGGGUAGAAGCAGGUAAGGAACCCUCCACCCUUGCUCCCUUGUAGCAUGCUACCUUAACCACAUACAAGCAAAAGAAAACCCUGAUGCAUCUCAGCUUCCUGAGCAAGUUCCUGGCCUUGUAGAGGGAAUCCAGACCUUGGAGUUUUAUGAACAUGGGCCUAAAUUCUGGUCUUACCAUUUCCUAGCUGUGUGUUUUUGGGUAAAUCUGUUAACCUCUGUGGUCCUCAGGGAUAACAGUUCCCUUACAGGGUUGUUGCCAGGAUUAAAGAUGAUAGAUACAGGUUGGGUGUGGUGGCUCAUGCCUGUAAUCCCAGAAUUUUGGGAGGCCCAGGCAGGAGGAUUGCUUGAUUCCAGGAGUUCCAGACCAGCCUCGACAACAUAGCAACACUCUGUCUCUACAAAAAAGUAUAUAUAUAUUUAAAAAUUAGCCAGGCAUGGUGACGUGCACCUGAAGUCCUAGCUACUCAGGAGACUGAGGUGGGAGGAUCACUUGAAGCCAGGAGUUCGAGGCUGCAGUGAGCUGUGAUCACACCACUGCACUCCAGACUGGGCAACAGAUCGAGACACUCUGAAAAAAAAGAUGAUGGAUACAAAGUCAUGGUUUCUGUUACAUGGCAGAUAUUCACUAAGAGCUGCCAUGCCCAUGUUUAAAAAGAAGAGGUAACAACACAUUUUCGGAAAAUGUGAAUCUGAAUAAAGAGGAUAAACUUCA